GACGAACGCUGGCGGCGUGCUUAACACAUGCAAGUCGAACGGAAAGGCCCUGCUUUUGUGGGGUGCUCGAGUGGCGAACGGGUGAGUAACACGUGAGUAACCUGCCCUUGACUUUGGGAUAACUUCAGGAAACUGGGGCUAAUACCGGAUAGGAGCUCCUGCUGCAUGGUGGGGGUUGGAAAGUUUCGGCGGUUGGGGAUGGACUCGCGGCUUAUCAGCUUGUUGGUGGGGUAGUGGCUUACCAAGGCUUUGACGGGUAGCCGGCAUGAGAGGGUGACCGGCCACAUUAGGACUGAGAUACGGCCCAGACUCCUACGGGAGGCAGCGGUGGGGAAUAUUGCACAAUGGGCGGAAGCCUGAUGCAGCAACGCCGCGUGCGGAAUGACGGCCUUCGGGUUGUAAACCGCUUUCGCCUGUGACGAAGCGUGAGUGACGGUAAUGGGUAAAGAAGCACCGGCUAACUACGUG
This 468-nucleotide ribosomal RNA is filed under the name uncultured bacterium. RNAcentral describes it as "partial 16S ribosomal RNA". It matches the Rfam family "Bacterial small subunit ribosomal RNA", at positions 28 to 507 of the family's 1533-position model. The record is from RNAcentral.